This 1431-nucleotide ribosomal RNA is filed under the name metagenome. RNAcentral describes it as "bacterial SSU rRNA". It matches the Rfam family "Archaeal small subunit ribosomal RNA". The record is from RNAcentral.
UUGAUCCUGCGGAAGAUUGCUGCUAUCAGGAUUCGACUAAGCCAUGCAAGUCAGAGGGCUUCUUCGGAAGCACAGGCAUACUGCUCAGUAACACGUAGUUAACAUAACCUAUGGUCGGGGAUAACCUUGGGAAACUAAGGGUAAAACCUGAUAGGUAAUAUUCUCUGGAAUGAAAUAUUACUCAAACUCGCGCCAUAGGAUUGGACUGCGGCUGAUUAGGUCGUUGGCGGUGUAAUGGACCACCAAGCCCACAAUCAGUAAGGGUCUUGAGAGAGAUAACCCUGAGAAGGACACUGAGAUACUGGUCCUAGCCCUACGGGGUGCAGCAGGCGCGGAACCUUUACAAUGCACGCAAGUGUGAUAAGGGGAUCCUAAGUGCUUUACUUUUAGUAAGGCUUUUGUCAAGAGUAAAUAUCUUGAUGAAUAAGUGAUGGGCAAGACUGGUGCCAGCAGCCGCGGUAACACCAGCGUCACAAGUAGCAAUCAGAUUUAUUUGGUCUAAAGCGUUCGUAGCCGGUUUUGUAAGUCUUUUGUGAAAUCGUUGCGCUUAACGUAACGGCGUGCAAAAGAUACUGCAUAACUUGGAGCCGGGAAGAGUUAGAGGAAUUCUAAGGGGAGCGGUAAAAUGCUAUAAUCCUUGGAAGACCACCUGUGGCGAAGGCGUCUAACUGGAACGGGUUCGACGGUGAGGAACGAAAGCUAGGGGAGCGAUCCGGAUUAGAUACCCGAGUAGUCCUAGCUGUAAACGCUGCGAGCAAGGUGUUGCAUAUUCUUCGUGAAUGUGCAGUGUCGAAAUGAAGAUGUUAAGCUCGCCACCUGGGAAGUAUGGUCGCAAGGCUGAAACUUAAAGGAAUUGGCGGGGGAGCACUACAAGUGGUGCGGCGUGCGGUUUAAUCUAAUUCAACGCAGAGAAUCUCACCAGAAGCGACGGCAGGAUGAAAGUCAGAUUAAAGGUUUUACUUGACGAGCCGAGAGGUAGUGCAUGGCCGCCGUCAGCUCGUGCCGUAAGGUGUCCUGUUAAGUCAGGCAACGAGCGAGACCUGUGCCUAUAAUUGCUAACGAUUUCUUUUGAAAGAUCGAGCACAUUAUAGGAACUGCCUUGGAAACAAGGAGGAAGGUUCAGGCUACGGUAGGUCUGUAUGCUCCGAAUCUUCUGGGCUACACGCGCGCAACAAUGGUAAGGACAAUGUGAUGCAACUCUGAAAAGAGAAGCUAAUCCUCGAAACCUUAUCUUAGUUUAGAUUGAGGAUUGUAACUCAUCCUCAUGACACUGGAAUCCCUAGUAAUCAGACGUUAUCAUCGUUUGGUGAAUAUGUCCCUGCUCCUUGCACACACCGCCCGUCAAACCACUCGAGCAGGGUUUAGAUGAGAAUUAGCUUUAAGUUGAUUCGAAUCUAAGCUCAGUGAGAUGGGUUAAGUCGUCACAAGGUA